UGGGGAAUUUUACGCAAUGGGCGAAAGCCUGACGUAGCGACACCGCGUGAGCGAAGAAGCCUUUUGGGGUGUAAAGCUCUGUCAGCUGGAAAGAACACAAUGACGGUACCAGCAGAGGAAGCAUCGGCUAACUACGUGCCAGCAGCCGCGGUAAGACGUAGGAUGCAAGCGUUGUCCGGAUUUAUUGGGCGUAAAGAGUUCGUAGGCUGUUUGUUAAGUCUGGUGUUAAAGACUGAGGCCCAACCUCGGAAAUGCAUCGGAUACUGGCAGACUUGAGUACGGUAGAGGCGAGUGGAAUUCCCAGUGUAGCGGUGAAAUGCGUAGAUAUUGGGAAGAACACCGGUGGCGUAGGCGACUCGCUGGGCCGCAACUGACGCUGAGGAACGAAAGCCAGGGGAGCGAAUGG
Molecule: ribosomal RNA, 406 nt
Filed under: uncultured bacterium
Lineage: Bacteria
Description: bacterial SSU rRNA
Rfam family: Bacterial small subunit ribosomal RNA
Source: RNAcentral